RNAcentral lists this long non-coding RNA (16029 nucleotides) under Solanum tuberosum (potato). RNAcentral's name for it is "long non-coding RNA (STUB_LNC010516)". The record is from RNAcentral. Lineage: Eukaryota; Viridiplantae; Streptophyta; Magnoliopsida; Solanales; Solanaceae.
AAAGAUCUAUAGUUAACGGUGAUGGGAUUCCGAACUAUUCAAUUAGAUACUUUCUUUGAUUUUCUACCUAAUAUUUCAAUAAUAUUCAUAUUGAGACUUGAUUAGUUCAGAAUUCACGCAUUGCGCGAUCGUUUUCUAAGGACGAUGCUUUCAUAAAAAAAUUGCUCUUAUAAAUUUGAACUCAAACCUCGAAUUAAGGAUAAAAAGAAAUCGAACCAUCCUCACAACGUGUCAACGAGAUACUCAUACUCCAUUUACUCAAUCUUAUAGUAUGAUUUAGCUUUUAGUUUAUUAAGCAGUAAGAUUUUAAAAAAUAUUUUUGAUUAGUAUGUAUAUUUGUGAGUUACAUUUCAAAAUAUCUUAUUUGACAAAAAAUAAUUUUGGUUACUAUUUUUUUUUUGUUAGGAAUAAGCGGCCAAAACUAACUUGGACGGUUAUUGUGCAAGCAUUUCUCUCAGGACUACUAGGGUAAGUGAUAUUCAACUAUUGACUUUCAAAUUAUUUUCGUUGUCCUGAAUUAUAUGACACUUGUUUUUUAUCAAUUCGAAGUGUUUUCAUAUUUUUAAAAUUUUAUGUUCAGUCAAACUGUAACACAUAAAUUGAGAAUGAGGGAGUAAUAAAAGAUAAACUACAAAGGAGAUUAAUAUAAUUCAUUCAAACUAUGGGGGUCCAAAUUGAGAAUGAGGGAGUAACUCCUUAAUUAAGGCUCAAGCAAUAUAUAUAUAAGAGUACUUAUCUACAAAUUGCAUCAAUUUAAAACUACAAAAUGGGGCUUAAAUUAGUUCAUAAAAAGAAUAAAUGAUCAACUUAAAAAGGUGUUCAAUCUAUUUAGAUAGGAUAAGAUAAAAUUAAAGAUAUCUUGGAAAAAACGUUUUAUGAUGUCCAUUCAGUUUACUUACACUUUUCCCAAGAAUAUAUCUGCUUAUGAUAUUUUAUUUUAUUUUAAAAAAAACUCAUUAUAUAACACGAAUAUUUAAAAAGAUACAAUUAUUAUAUUUUUAAUACAAUUGUUACUAUCGUUUAAGUAUCAUGUUAUAUCCAAUUGAUAUAAUUCGUUGCAACUUUUUUCAAGAUUCUCUAAAUUAGUAUCCUUUUGGAUAGGCAUAAUUUAAUGCCCAAUAUGAUUAUACUUUUUGUACGUUAAAAAGUAUUUUUUUUAAAAUAAUUUUCUAGUGUUUAGUUAGAGAAUGUGACAUAUGAUUACAGUAAUCGAGUCAAUACGACAAAAGUUAUAUAAACAUAAUAUAUUAACAAUUAGUUUUAUUUACUACACAAAGUUUUAUUUUUUUGGUUAAUUAGAAGAAGAAAUUAGAGAUAAUAAAUUGAUGUGAUGAAAUUGUUGUUAUUUCAGGGGUUCGUUAUUUUCGAUUUUAUUUUAUACAAGUGUGAUAAUGACAUCUGCAACAUUUGCAACUGCAAUUUACAAUCUUAUCCCUGCAAUGACUUUUGUUAUAGCAGUCCUCCUAAGGUAUACAUAUAUUUAUUUACUUUAUUCUUAUGUUAUUCUUUUUGUGUGUGUAAAUUCUCAAUAUUCAAAGGAGGAGGACAAAAGUACCUUAAUAAUUCGUAAAUUUAGAUCGGCUAAUUAUUCUCGGAUAGCACCUUAAUUACACAUUCAUCAAUUGUGCUCAUGAGGGUAUAAAACUUUUUUUCUACAUUCUGACGAUAGCGACCACUAACAAGUUGAUCAAAUAACUCAAGCAUAAGUUAAAGCAAAGGCGGAGCUAGGAGGGAAAGGGUUCAAUUGCAUCCGUUUACCAAAAAAAUAUAUUGUGCUAACAGAGUAAAAAGAAAAAUCUAGAUUGUAAAUAAAUUUUUAAAUCUCUUAAGCAUAAGAGGAAAUUCUAGUUAGUGAUAGAGGAGGUUUGAAAGUUACUUUAGGUCGGUAAGUUUAAAUUAAUUCGAUUUCGAUGUUGAAGGUUGUUGUGAAUCUAUUUAUAUAAUUUACUGAUUUUGUCAUUAAUGACAUGAAAUUUUAUUAUUUUUUCCCUUCCUUUAAGUUUAAACUAACUCAAUUUCGAUGUUGAAUGUUGUUGUGAAUCUAUUUAUAUAAAUUUCUGAUUCUGUCACUAAUGAUGUGAAAUUUUAUUAUUUUUUCCCUUCCUUCAAGUUUAAAUUAACUCGAUUUCGAUGCUAAAUGUUAUUGUAAAUCUAUUUGUAUAAAUUUCUGAUUCUGUCACUGAUAACGUGAAUUGCUUCUUUUUUUUUCCUUUCAUAAAAUGUUCAUUAGGUUUGAGAAUUUAUCAUUUGAUAAAGUAAGUGGGAAAGCAAAGGUAAUGGGAACAAUGAUAUGUGUUGGUGGAGCAAUGCUAUUGACAAUAUACAAAGGAAUAGAGGUUCAUAUGUGGCCUAUCAAAAUUGAUUUGCUACAUCAUGAUAAUGAAUCAACAACACAUAAGAAGUUAGUUGGUGGCACUUUUGCUUUAGGAAUUGUACUGGCUGUCACCUCUUGCAUUUGUUAUUCACUAUGGAUAGUAUUAUUGGUAAGUAUAUAUAUACUUCAUUUUACCAAACACCAAUAAAAUGAGUGGAAUGAAUUUCUUUAGCAUGAUUUGUUUGCAAUUAUAUGUAUGUUUGACUAAUUAUUGUUGUUUUGUUUGAUCAAUUUUAAUAGGCUAAGGUAAGUAAAAACUAUCCAUGUCACUACUCAAGCACAGCAUUGAUGAGCCUAAUGGGAUCCAUUCAGUCAGUCCUAUUUGCACUAUGCUUUGACAGACAAGUAUCUCAAUGGAGGCUUGGUUGGGACAGAAGAUUGUUUGUUGUUCUCUAUCUUGUAAGUCAUCAAUGUUAAUUAACUUAUCAACAACAUCAUAUUCAGUGUAGUCCUACAAGAGAGGUCUGAGAAGUAGAAUGUACACAAAUUUUAUCGUUACCUUUAUAUGGUAGAGAAGUUAUUUCCAGUAGACCCUCGGUUCAACAAGGCAUAAUAAAAAACAGGCUAGAAAGCAAAUAAUGACAAUAAAGUAGCAAGAUAAACACAUUCAGUGUAAUUUCACGAGUGGGGUCUGUAGACCAAAUUUAUGUAACCUUAUCCCUAUCUUUGUGGGGUAGACACUACUAAAAUAUCACUAUUUUCCCACUGAAAAUGUAUAGUGGUUUUUACCACAGAUAUUUUUAUUCGAUGAGUGAGAAAAGAACAAAUAGUUGUGUUUUUCUUUCACAUGGAAAAAAUUAGGACGCUUCUCAGUAUUUCAGUGAGAAUUUGCUUCUCACCAUGUGUUUUCUCAGUGAAUUGGUUAGGUGAAAAUUGAGUGGGAAAAUCAUUUUUAUAACACAAAUUUUCGUUGAUUUGCAAUGGAAAGAACCUCUAUUUCUAGUAGUGAGAGAGGUUGUAUACGAUAGACCCUCGACAUGACUUAUGAACAUCAAUAAAUAUAUGUAUAAUAAAAUGUUUAUGUUAUUAGACAAUUUGUUAGAACUAUGGUUGUUGAUUAUAUAUAGUUCCUUUUUUUAUGCAGGGAACUUUAGGAUCUGGAAUUGUGGUGAUUUUAAUGACAUGGUGCUCUCAGAAAAGAGGCCCUCUAUUUGUCUCUGUCUUCAACCCUCUAAUCCUUCUUUUUGUGGCACUAGCUAGCUCAUUGUUUCUUAAUGAGACCCUAUAUCUAGGAAGGUAAUUAUUCAAUUCUUUUUUUUUUUUUUUAAAACUCUUAUUUAUUUAAAAGUUUGAUAUUUCAAGUUGUAGUUAUCAUGAUAUAUUAUGAAAGUUGCUUGCAUAUAUAGUAUCAACAUACUUAUAGGUGGUAUAAACGGCAUCUAGUCGUAACACUUUGUAGUUGUCAUGUAUACUCAGUGUAUAACAAAUGUAUACAUAAUAAUUGUAUACAAAAUAUACAUUGAUUAUACACUAUAUACUAGUUAAUUUUUUUAUCGCGGACAUUGUUUGAAUUGCUGUAUAGUGUAAAAAGCCUUUGAAAAAUCUUCUUACUUGCUUAACUUGUUGAGCCUUUGAAAAAUCUUCUUACUUGCUUAACUUGUUGGUUAUGGACAGUAUAUUAGGUGGAUUGCUUAUAAUAAUGGGGCUGUAUGUGGUGCUAUGGGGAAAAGGAAAAGACAUGAAGGCUUCAAAGGCUAUUAUAUUAUCCAAAGGAGCCUUGCAGAAAAAUGAUUUAGAAGCUCCUAAUCAAGAUCAAGGUAACAUUAAUUAACUUAUUUUUUAUUAAUUUAAUUGUCUAAUCUUUACAAGUUUUGGUUGAAUACAUAAAUUCUUUCAUGACAAUAAUUGUAAAACAUAGCUAACAACCAAGUAAUUUAUGAGCAAUCCCUUAGUUAUAUGACAUAAAAAUCAUAGUUCAUUCUUUACUCUUUUUCAACUUCUUGUUAAUCUAUCGGAAACAACCUCUUCACCUCCAAGAUAGUAGUAAGAUCUGCGACUCUGUGUACACUUAACCAUUUCCGGACUCCACUUGUGCGAUUACAUUGAAUAAGCUAUUGUUGUUGUUGUUGUUUCAACUUCUUGUUAAUGAGACUUUUAUCAUAUGCAGUCACUUCUUCAACAAUAAAGCAAGGCUUGACCCAAUAGGAGUUGGAAUGUGUUUGUGGGCUAUUUCUUGCACAAAGUUAGGACUACCAACAGGCCCAACACCAUGGAAAUGAAGAAAAAAAAAGUUCCAACUUUGUCAUUUGAUAUAAAAUUUGGAACUUAUCAAUAUAUAUGUAACCACCUUAAAUGAUAAUUGUAACAUGUAAGGCAAUAUGUGUACCCCAUUAGUGAGCAUUCCAAGAAAAAUAGUAUACAUAAUGAUCAUCAUUGAUAAGCCUUCCAAAGUUUAAUUUUGUAAAUUAGGAAUUUAAUUUGGUACUUGAUUUUAGUAGAAAUUGUUGAGCAAGCCCAAAUAUUGAGCGUUAAACGUGUUUAAUAUGCAUUAGCAAACGCUUGAAACGUAUGCCUCACAGAGUUAAGCCCCAAAAGGCAUUGGUCAUAAAUGCAUUCAUAUGGAAGAUAAUUUUAUUUAUUUUUAUUACCUUAAAAGGGAAAUAGUGGAAAUUAGACCACAUAUAAGUGAUAAACUUCCAUAGAAAUAAGCAUUUGUGUGAAAAUGACUUGAUUUUAACAUUUUUGUUUCUCUAUUAGUUCAUCGCCAAGUGUAUAAUUUGGAACCUUUUUAUUUUGAAAAAUCCCUUGGGUGGGUGGGGAAUAAUAACAAAUUAUCACAGAAGAUUUAAAAAUUAAAAAUAAGUACUGGUCAGAAUUAAAUAAGGAUGUAGUCUGGCACUGUGUCUUUGUUUAAUACUUGGGAAAUCCAAAACUCAGAUAAGAGAAAAAAAACAGAUCAAAGUUAUUUAAAUUUGACGUGAAUUAUUAGUUGCAUUUCUAAAUUAUUGUCAGCCUUAAAAACACCUUUUAUUUGACUAACUAAACUUAAAUACACUUUGAUCUUGCAAUAUGAGUGAAAUACCCUCUAAAUUUUCACCAAGUUUAGAUAUGUUUUCAACACUUCUCUUGCCAUUUUAUUAAGAGUCCCUUGUUUGUACAAGAAUUUUAAAUCACUUGCUAUGCCAUGUAGCAGAUCGGGGUGUAUCUAAGUUUAGUUUAUCAAGUACAUAGGUGUUUUAAAGGAUAUGAAUAGUUCGAAGACGAAACUAAUAAUUUACGUUAAGUUUAGAAGUGUUUACAAUAAUUCUCUCUAUAUUAAAUGUUAUUUACUUCAUUUUUUUUAAAAUAAAAAAGUUACUACCUUUUUAUAUUUUGAUUUUAAAAUUUUCUUUUUAAAAUAUUAUGCUAAAACAAAUAUUAUCAUAUAAAUUGAAACAGAAAAGUAAGAUCAACCCUUAGAUACAUGUAUUUGUGAAAAAUUAUUAUAAAAUAAAAUAAUUAAAAUAUGCACAGUACACACCACUAUAAUAUUUUUUUUUUCAAAAAAAUAAAAUAGAAUAAAAUCAAAAUUGGUAUGUCAAACGUAACCACAAGGACAAGAUAGACAUCUCUCAUGUUUCUUCAUAAAAAGGCCUAAAAUUAAUAAGAAGAGCAAACUCAACAUAGAGAGAUGGCCACAAAGGCUUUAAUUCAGCCUCAAAUCAGAGUUUCACAUCUGUCUCCUCCAUUGCCAAAUACCAUUGAAAUGAUGAUAAGAAAUAAUAUUAUUAAUUCUCCAAGAAAUUUUAACAAGAUUUCAAGAUUUGUGCAACAAAGAACCAUUUUUGCUGCUCCUGAACAACAACAACAAAGUAAUGUUGAGGUUUCACAUUCAACUUCUUCCCAAGUCAAGAUUCAACUUUAUGAUGCCCUACAAGGUAAUAUAAUAUUGCUUUCAUUUUUCAUUCACUUAUCUUUCUAUCUUUAGUCCGGGGGCGGAGCUAGUCAGAGUUCAGGGAUUUAUUCAAAAUUUUGGGUAAAAUAUUAUAAUAAUUAUAUAUGGUAAAUGUUGACUUUUGUUAAUUUUUUUGUAUGUUUAUUUUUUUAUGUUUUAAUUUUUUAGUGAAAAUUUUGAUUCUAUCGUGGCUACUUUUAAGCCCCUCCCUCUGCACCUCUGCUUCUCUAUCUCUAUGUUUAGGGCUUGAGCUAGUUGUCUUGUGUAGUAUUUUAAGGAUUGUUUAGUACUCGAGAUAAAAAUAAUAAUUUUGACUUGAAAUACUGGUAAAUGUUGGAAAUAUUUUAUUUCAUUAUUUGUAUUAAAUGGUGGGAUUAUAUGUACAAACUUUUCUUUAUUUAUUAAUGGGCUAGGAGCCCUAUUUUAAUUUUAAAAAACAAAUUAAAAUGAUGAGAUUACACUGCUAUAUAGAAAGUAGAAUAAAAUAAUUUAAUGAAAUAUUCUGACUUAUUUUAUCUCGCGUUCUGAACAACUCCUUACAUUAUUAACUUUAGGCAUAAUAUGUACAUGGAUAUCCGUUGAAUUUAUUACUAAUUUUUAUUUAGAUAUUCGAAUUAUGAUCUAUUUCAAUUGAGCAUUUGAAUACAUAAUAAAAUAUUUUUAUUCAACAUUUUUGAGUCAAUUUUGAAAAAGAUUUUGUGCAUAUUUUCAAGCAUUCAUUAAGUAACUAAGUUAAACACUUAAAAUAUAUUAAUUUCUUUUAUUAUACACAUUAGCCUCAAUAAGUUGUAAAAAAUGAGACAUAUUUUAUAUAAUUAAUUUAUUUACUAAAUAACACUUGAGAACAGACACAAAACUUUUUCAAAAUAUAAACAUACUAUUAAUACAUAUAUAUAUUCUUAUUUUGUUUGUUGAAAAUAUUGUUUAGGAAUUAACAGAGGAAUUUUUGGAGUAUCAUCAGACAAGAAAUUUGAAAUAGAAGAGCUAGUGAAGCAAUUGGAAUCUCAAAAUCCAACUUUUGAACCAACCUCAUCUCUAGAUAAGGUGAUGUGGUAUUGUGCCAUACCAUUAUACUUCCUCUGAUCUAAUUUAUGUGGCAUCUUUUUAAAUUUUUCGAGAGCCAGAAAUUUGCGCAUGAAAUCUUCAAAUUUUUUGAAAUAAAAUUUAUAUAUUUGUAAAUUACAUACAAAAUAUUAUUAAUCACAAUAAUUGACAGUUCAAAAUAUUUAAAAAUACAUGAAAAAAUUACAAUCAAAGAUAGACUUGUUUAAAUCUCAAAAUCUAAAAUGUGCCACGUAAAUUGAGACGAAGGAAGUAUUAUUAUAAUUUAUUUUACAGUUGAAUUAAAUGUUGCAUAUUUCUGAUUUAGAAUAAAUGAUUUUGGUAUAUGAGUAGGUGGCUGGAAAUUGGAAGCUUAUAUACAGUACAAUAAGUAUUUUAGGAUCAAAAAGAACAAAAUUAGGAUUGAGAGAUUUUAUCACACUUGGGGAUUUAUAUCAGAAUAUUGAUAUUUCUCAGGUAUUCUAUUUUAAUUUAAGAUCACAAGAUUUCAUUAUUUUAUUUUUUAAAACUUUGCAUAUAGUUAAAUUAAAACAUAUAAAAUGAAACAAAGGAAGUAUUACGUAUUUUUUAUUUUUUCAUAUUUCGACUAAUUUCAAAUAUUUUAUUGAUGAUAAAUGGAGGGAAAAGCUGUGAAUGUGAUUAAGUUUAAUGCCAGAGGAUUAAGUUUAUUAAGUGGAGAGUUAAGGAUUGAAGCUUCCUUCAAAAUUGCAUCAAAAUCAGUUAAGAUUUCUCUCCUUUUAUAUUAUUUUUUUAAGAAUAUAUAAUUUUGUUAAUUUCAUAUUCCUGAUUUUUUUUAAAUUUGAUUUUUAUUUUUCAAUUGUAGAGAGUUGACAUUUUCUACAAUAAUUCUGGAAUUACACCAGACCAGGUAUGGGUUAAUUAUGUUUCCUGCAUUGCAAAAAGUUAUUAUUCGAGCUCGUUCGAUCAAGAAAUAAGUUAUUUCGAUAUUAAUUAUUUCAGAAUUGUUGUUCUAUCCGCAAUAUAGGAUAGAAACAAUACUAUAGUCUCAACCAUACAUGAAAUGAACUCAUCCUAAAAUUAAACAGGAGAUUAGUUAUCCUUUAUACCGAACGAGCCUUAAGUGAAAAAAUAAAACUAUCUACAAAAUUUAUUUCUUCUCUUAAAUGAAAUUGAUAAAGCAAAUAGUUUAACAAAGAACAUGCACAUGUGAUUAUGUCAGGGUAAAAGUAGAUCUAAAGAAUAUAUUAGGAUUUUUUUUCAGUACUUUUUCAUGUAAUCUUUAGUUUUUAGAAUUAAUUAGUUUCAUAAAUUCUACUGCUAGACCACACAUGUUUUUUGGGAAAAAAGAUAAAUAUACCCCAAAUUAUCGUAAAUGGUAUGUACAUAUCCUCCGUCAUACUUUUGGGACAUUGAUGCCUCUGUAGUCCAAAAACUAGAACAUAUAUAUCAUUUAUACUAACGGACAUACACAUGUCAUAAUCUUAUCCACCGAUCAGACAUUUAUUAAAUAUUGGAUUGACGGAUAAGAUUGAGUCAUGUGUCCCUAUUUAGACUUCCGUUAGAGUGAAGGGCAUAUAUGCUCUAGUUUUUGGACGGCAAGGGCGUCAAAGUCCCAAAAGUAUGACGAAGGUAUCUGCAUAACAUUUACAAUAGUUCGGGAUAUGUUUAUCCUUUUUCCCAUGUAUUUUGAAGAAAUUCUUCUGUUGUUUUUAAUUUAUACUCUUUAACUAUAAUUUCGUACUUAAAAAAACGAUUGAAUCCCUCAGAUUUUUUAAUUAAAAAACAAGUUAAUUUUCUAUUAAGUCCAUCAAUUUAGUAGUGUUAUAUAUAUAUUGAUUUAGUUUGUGUGAUUUUGUUUGGAACAGUUAAUGAAUGUGUUUCAGAAAAACUACAAUCUUCUUCUUGGCAUCUUCAACCCAGAAGGUUGGCUUGAGAUUACGUAUCCUUUUAUGAAUCGAAUAAACGGAAGUAAUCACUAAUAUUUGUAUUAAAGUAGAUCGUCUGUAUCAUACCAUUUGGGGUGCAAUUCUUUCUUAUCAUCAGAUACUGUUAACGCAAAAUAUUUUGUACACCAUACUGUUAAAAUAUCCUUAAUCUUGAAAAUGCAGAUAUGUUGAUGAGAAUUUGAGGAUAGGCAGAGAUGACAAGGGCAACAUUUUUGUCUUGGAGAGGGUUAAUUAAUUAAUUCCCAAUUUAUUUAUAUGUAAAUUUCAAUACAUAUAUCCUUGCUACAUAGAAGAAAUACAUCAAGUUUUGUUCUUCAUAGUCCAUCAUUUUUUCACUCAAUCACAUAUCAUAUUGAACGUCGGGGCUGUUCUUAUUUUACCGGAGGGGUUUGAAUUAGCCCCUCCCGAUCGUAUUUCUCCUGAGAUAAAAGAAAAGAUUUGAUAAUUUUGUAACGUCAUAGAAGGAGCUGCUUUUUCCUACCUAAGUCUUAUAUGGUCUUUUUUUAUACGCUCCGGAUGAUUGACGGAAGAAACACCAAAUAUGUCCUGAACUUCUCGCUCCUAUCGAUCAGUUGAUGGAAAUAGACUACUGACUAUCAGAGAUAUUCGUGUUAUUUCGUCUGCAUUAGAUUGUACAUGAAUGCGUGAGUUAUAUCAAAUACUCAGUAAAUUAUAGACCACUUCAAAUCUUUGUUUUCGAGAGGAAUAAUCAACUCCGCAAAUAUCGCUUGAGCCUUUCAUCAAUUUUCACCCUUUUGUCCAACAAGUUUCACAAUGAAUAGUCGUUAUCUAUCAUAAAGUUACAUAAUAUAACACAUGAUAGUACCAAAACUUACUUUGAGCAAACGCCUCACAAAAUCUAGGCUUUGGGUCUUAAAUAGUUCCGAUCCUUUUGAUUCUUUGGUGGAAAUCUAAGAUUUAAGAAAUAAUAAGUGUUAAAUUAUCUAAUCCUUCAUCAAUUGCAACUCGAAUUCAUGGUGAAAAAUAUUACCUUUGGGUUAAGAUUGAACCUAGGUUGUUUCCUCCUUCAAAAUGCUCUCAAAAAAGUGCAAAAAGACCAUAUUUUUUCAAUCUAAAUUUCAUUGGACUUCUAUCGUGUGCUAAGAAACCUCAUCCUAUAAUUUAUUGCUUUGCUAUUUUAUCGUACUUUUCGAUCACUUUCCUUUUCAUAGUUAUCUAGCCUCUAUUCAACGUAUAAUUGUUUAAAAGUCACAAGAGGACACAUUUUUCUUCUUCUUAUAUGAUAUUUAUCCUUAAAUUCGAUUUGGAUCAAGACUCGAAUGAAGAGAACUCUUAAUUUCAAACUUUGACUCACUUAGCAAAGUUCUAUUUGUAAAUCGACUAUAUAUCCACAUAUUUAUACAUGUCUCAACAACUCAACCAUACUUAAAAAGGGUUUAACACACAACCACUAACAUACUCAAGCACAAAAUGCCAACAUUGAAAAAAUUAUAAUUGUAUUACACGUCUCAACUGCUUCAUCUAUCCUCGAACAAGUAAGAUAUUUGAUUUUUACGUCCUGCUCAAAUUUUCAGAUACCAAAUAGCCUUUUCAACUGGAUAGUUACUUUACAUAACUUUCAUCCAAAGAACAUCUUUAAUUCAAAGCUUACGAGCACAUUUAUCUGUUAUGACUAUAUGAACCUAAUCGUAAAACAAUAUAUCAUCAAACUUAUAUUUCUUAUUUAUCAAAUCACAUGACUAGGACCGUGAAGUAUUGUGUAUACUUUAUUAAUAAAUCAAUAAAAUAUAAUUACACAUAAAAUAGAAUGAAAGGAAUAUUUUUCAAAUCUUAAUAGAGUAAAAAAGUUAAACUCAAAAGAAACGAAAAAAAAGUCAAUGUGGAAAGGGGGUUGAACAAUCAACGGCUGAGAUUAAAUCUAACACGUCAAAAGAAGGUGCUUGAAAGGUUGUCAAAUGACAGAUCAUAUACAACUCCUAAUAAUAAUGGUUGAAAUUAUUCCUACACCUAUCAAACCAUUUAAAUAAUUGGACAAAACAAAUAAAAAUUAAAAAAGUUUCUAUUUUUAGACCUUACAAAAUUCACAAAAUAUUUUAUAGUUGUCAUUCAAUAAUGAGUUUCCUUGCUUUCUCACUUUUAUUGAAUUAGAAUUAUCAAGUUUCCUUUUAUUGAUAUCUUAUUUUAUUAUUAAAGAAUGUGGUGUAGUGAGUUUUUUAGUUAGAGAUUUCGAGUUCGAGUAUUGAAUAUGAAAAAAAUGUUGAUGAAGAGUGUUUUCAUAUGAAUGGAGCUCUACGCGCAUGAACUUAAAUUAAUUAGACUCAAAUACAUAUACUAGACAUUGGAUGAAAAAAAAUCAAAAUAUAUUUGAUUUUAGGGUUUCUUUUUUAUAGUUAAAUACUUCGAGUUAAUUUCUUAUAUAAUCAUCUAAAUAUUGAAAAGAUUUCAUCAAAAUUAUUUUUGAUUUUUUUCUCCUCUAAAUAAUCAUUCAAGUACAAUGUUUUGGUUUUGCACAUUUUUUUUAAAACAUACUCAAUACAAAAUACAAAAUUCAAAUAAAAUUAGGACUAAAUAUUAUAUUAAUAAAUUAUCAUAAUAAAUGUCAUUUCAACAAUUAAAAUGAAUAUAUUUUAUAUUUGACAAAUAUUUUUGAACGAUUUGAAAUUAAUGUUAAAAAUUAUAGUAAAAUCUCAGCAUGAACCUUUAAAUGCUGAAAAAUAAUAUUCCUUGAAAAUUUUCUUGCAUAUGCUUAAAAUUUAACCUUUUUUACAAAAAAAUAAUUUAAGAUGCAUAAGCAUUCAUAUCCUUCACAAAUACACAUUUUUUAUGAAUGUAUACAAUAUAAAUUAGGCACAUUAAAAAGCUUAUACGAACAUCUUUUCGUACAAAAGAAGAAGAAGAAGAAGCAUGUAAAAUUUUGGGAAGAAAAAUCAUUUGUAUUUCAAGAGUCUGAAUUGUGUUAAGAUUCUGUUACAGAUUUGAUUCAUUCAAAUUAUUUUAAACUUGGUAGAAGUUUUUAAAAGGGAUAAAAACAAAUGCAUUUGAGAGUCGUUUGGUAAAAUGUAUAAGAAAAUAGUAUUUCAUGAAGUGUAUUAAUAAUGUUGAAAUCAAUUGUUUUAGGAUAAUUUCCUAUCCACUAUAUGAUUUGAUGUAUUAAAGUCAAUUCCAUCUUUAACCAUGCAUAUCCAUGUGUUAAUAGGCCAUGUAUUAUCAAUACAAUAAUUUGUUAUAUAUUACUUAUCAUAUUAUAUUAAAUAUUAUGUAUUACUAAUAUAUGUAGGCUAAAUAUAAUAUCAUAAAAUACAUAUAUGAUAUUUUGUUUAACACAUCCUAUAAAAUGACCCCUUAAUGAAAUUAGACCUGAAUUGUUAAGAUUUAAACAUGAAAAAACAAACACAUUUAAUAAAUGAAAACUGAAUGAUGAAUUUUUCAAAAUUCAAACUUAUAAGACCUUGGUAUUUAAUGAUGAUUUUUUCAAAAUAUGACAUUAUUUUGUAUUCUCUAUCAAGAAAAAAUAAUAAAAAAGAAAAAGAAAAAGAAAAUUCACCUAUUCUUAUAAUUCCUUAAAUUAACUAGUCCAACAAUUACUACUAUAAUUUAUGUACCAUAUAAUAUAAUAUAUGAUUGAAAAAGCUUGUCCUUUUUGAAAACUUUAGCAUCUUAAAGUUGAAGGCAAAUUUGUCAUUUUGGUGUUGUUGCACUUUUAAAUUUCAAAUUCAAAAAUUCCUACAACCAAAUAUUUACUGCAGUAAUUAAUUAUUUUCAUUUAAAAAGAAAAAAUAUAUUUAAAAAAAAAAACAAAUUUAAACUCAAAACCCUCUUUUUCUUUUUGUAUAUAAUAAGCUUCCCUAGAGUCUUAAGAUUCCUCAUUUUGUAUUUCUUCAUUUCCCCAAACAGAGUCUUCGAAGCCGCCGGCCAUAAUCUCCGGUUGCUUUGCAAAAUCUCCGGCGACCACUUUCCGAUCUCCUCUCAGUUCCCGGUAAGUCUAGAUCUGGUCUUUCUUAUCCUCUUUUUUUUUUUUUUUUUUUUUUUNNNNNNNNNNNNNNNNNNNNNNNNNNNNNNNNNNNNNNNNNNNNNNNNNNNNNNNNNNNNNNNNNNNNNNNNNNNNNNNNNNNNNNNNNNNNNNNNNNNNNNNNNNNNNNNNNNNNNNNNNNNNNNNNNNNNNNNNNNNNNNNNNNNNNNNNNNNNNNNUUUUUUUUAUCCUUUUUUUUUUUUUUUUUUUUUUUUUAGAAUUUUUGAUGGAUUGAGUUAUGUGAAAUGUCAAAGAAAAUUGUGAGAUGCAUGUGGGGUUUAUGUUUUGAGAUCUAUGAAAGUGGUAAAAGAGAUAGAAUUUGUUUAUGUGAAAUGGGUAUUUUUUAUUUCUUGGAUUGACUAGUUAGAUGUAGUGAAUCUUGGGUAUUUGAAGGUUGAGCUAAUAUAAUUCUGGAUCUGAUGAAGUGGAUCUAUUUUGAGGUUGAUCUGCUAUGGAUUUACCUUGAUCUACUGUUUGAUUAUAGUUCAAAAUGGUUUUGAAUGGUGUUCUGUAGCUCUCUUGUGGUGAUUGAUGAAUAAAUCUUGUUAAGUAAAAGAAGAAAAAAGCUUUCUUUUUGUUGGAACUGAAAUUGAUUAUGUCCUUUUGGCUUUCUGAUUACUUUAUAUAUCAAUGAGAUGUAGCUUAGUUGAAAAUGAGUGUGGAGUGAUUGAGGGGUUUUGCUUUUAUGAUUUUUUGUCUCCGAUUGGAUUUGAGGAGAAGCUAAGUUAUAGAGCGAGACGUAUGCGAGUAGUGUCAUUUGGAUUUGCUGGAUUGAUAAAUGAAGCAUAGAGUUUUAAGAUAUUUUCACUUUGGAUUUCCCUCUUAUCUAUAUUGGGAUGUUAAUUGAGAAGUAUGCAAUGUAUUGUCAUUUUGAUAUGAUUGAUCGAUAGGUUAAACAUCCGAGGUUUAAGAUACAUCUAUAUUGGGAUAUUAUCUUAUUCUGUAAUUCCUACAUCUACUUAUCUUGCUGACUACGGUAUCUGGAUUUAAGAUUGCUUAUUAAUCUGUUGUUUGUAUUGGCAGUUGAAUAGAAAAUGGCUGACGGUGAGGAUAUUCAGCCCCUUGUUUGUGACAAUGGAACUGGAAUGGUGAAGGUCAGUUCUUAAUUUUUUUACUUUUAUGAUUUUCAAUGACGGAGUCGUGAUAGUUGAACACUUCAUUUGAAGUGUAUUUUGUUAUAUUCUUGACAUGUUUCUGAUUUUUUUGGUGAAUAAUUUGAUUGUAUAAAUGUAGGCUGGAUUUGCUGGUGACGAUGCUCCUAGAGCAGUGUUCCCUAGCAUUGUUGGUCGUCCUCGUCACACUGGUGUUAUGGUUGGAAUGGGACAGAAGGAUGCAUAUGUUGGUGAUGAAGCUCAAUCCAAGAGGGGUAUCUUGACCUUGAAAUACCCAAUUGAACAUGGUAUUGUCAGCAACUGGGAUGAUAUGGAGAAGAUCUGGCAUCAUACUUUCUAUAAUGAGCUUCGUGUUGCCCCCGAGGAGCACCCUGUUCUGCUCACUGAAGCACCUCUCAACCCUAAGGCCAACAGAGAGAAAAUGACCCAGAUUAUGUUUGAGACCUUCAACGUUCCGGCUAUGUAUGUUGCUAUUCAGGCUGUGCUUUCCUUGUAUGCUAGUGGUCGUACAACUGGUUAGUAUUAGUCCUCUCAUGAUCCAAAUCUUCCCUUGUUGGAAAGUUGUUUUUGAUCUGACAUUAUGAGUGUCUUUUGACAGGUAUUGUGUUGGACUCUGGUGAUGGUGUGAGUCACACUGUCCCUAUCUAUGAGGGUUAUGCUUUGCCACAUGCCAUUCUUCGUUUGGAUCUUGCUGGUCGUGAUUUAACUGAUAACCUGAUGAAGAUCCUCACCGAGAGAGGUUACAUGUUCACCACCACUGCUGAACGGGAAAUUGUCCGUGACAUGAAGGAAAAGCUUGCCUAUGUGGCUCUUGACUAUGAGCAGGAGAUUGAAACUGCCAGGAGCAGCUCCUCCAUUGAAAAGAACUAUGAAUUGCCUGAUGGACAAGUUAUUACCAUUGGUGCUGAGAGGUUCCGUUGCCCAGAGGUCCUCUUCCAGCCAUCCAUGAUUGGUAUGGAAGCUGCAGGUAUCCACGAGACUACCUACAACUCUAUUAUGAAGUGUGAUGUUGAUAUCAGGAAGGACCUCUACGGUAACAUUGUGCUCAGUGGUGGCUCAACCAUGUUCCCUGGUAUUGCUGAUCGUAUGAGCAAGGAAAUCACUGCCUUGGCUCCCAGCAGCAUGAAGAUUAAGGUUGUUGCUCCACCGGAGAGAAAGUACAGUGUCUGGAUUGGAGGAUCCAUCCUUGCAUCACUUAGCACCUUCCAGCAGGCAAGCCUUUGUUUUUUUUUUAUCUUCUCUUGCAUAUACUUUUGCCAUUUAAACUGCAUAUUGUACCAAGUUGUUGCUAACUUAAAACUUGUUUUAAUCAGAUGUGGAUUUCAAAGGGCGAGUACGAUGAGUCUGGUCCAUCCAUUGUCCACAGGAAGUGUUUCUAAGGUGCUGCUGCUAUUUUUACUUGUGUUCACGAGUUACUUUUUAUGUUCUUCCUGCUAAAGUUAUUAAUGUUAUCGUCCACAGUGAACUCGGGUCUGCUGCUAGGCAAGUCUUUGAGAUGGGGCUAUGAAAGAAGGGCAAUUAAAAACAUUGUACUACUGCUGAUACUAUUUCAUGUUUCCAGUGCAAGGCUCUUUUGUCUGGAGAUAUCCCUUCGUGAAUUUGAACUUGAACUCGAACUCGAACUCUUAGGUUGUUUGUAGUUGCGGAGAGUGAUUGUGUUGUUGUUUAUUAUUUUGUUGGGGUUUUAUGUUUCAUUUUCUUUGUUUUGCUAUCCUAUGGUACCUUUUUUU